UUUAAAGUGUAAUGUAAGUCGCUUUGGAUAAAAGCGUCUGCUAAAUGUAAUAAA
Gasterosteus aculeatus (three-spined stickleback) is the source of this 54-nucleotide non-coding RNA. The record is from Rfam. Lineage: Eukaryota; Metazoa; Chordata; Actinopteri; Perciformes; Gasterosteidae.